Molecule: ribosomal RNA, 480 nt
Filed under: uncultured bacterium
Lineage: Bacteria
Description: partial 16S ribosomal RNA
Rfam family: Bacterial small subunit ribosomal RNA
Source: RNAcentral
GACGAACGCUGGCGGCGUGCUUAACACAUGCAAGUCGAACGAUGAAGAAAAGAAUUGAUGCUUCGGCAGAAAUUCAUUUCGGAUUAGUGGCAGACGGGUGAGUAACGCGUGAGCAACCUACCUCUUACAAAGGGAUAGCCUCGGGAAACCGGGAUUAAUACCAUAUAACAUUGCGACGAAGCAUUUCGAUGCAAUCAAAGCUACGGCGGUAAGAGUUGGGCGCGCGUCGCAUUAACCAGAUGGUGAGGUAACGGCGCACCAGAGUAACGAUGGGUAACCGGACUGAGAGAGUGAACGCUCACACUGGAAGUGAGACACGGUCCAGACUCCUGCGGGAGGCGGGAGUGGGGAAUAUUGCACAAUGGAGGGAGCGCUGAUGCAGUGACGCCGCGAAAGUGAUGAAGUUAGGCAUGUCGUGAAACUCUGUUCUAUGCGAAGAAAAUGACGGUACCAAAAGAAAAAGCUCCGGCUAAAUACGUG